CAACGUAUAAAACAAAUUUUCUUUUCGAAUGGGAUUUCUGUGAAUCGGCCGACUCCUUUGUACAUAUGAGUGCCCUCUAAAAUACAUUUUAGAUAUGAAUUUUUAUCUAAUGUUUUUUAGAAUUCAUCAUCUAGCCGAUCAUGAAUAUGAAAAGAAAAAUAAAAUUUUAGAAUUUAAGAUAUAUUUUUUGGGUAAACUUCUCCUUUUCUUAAUGAACAUUCUAAGGGCUAUCAAAGUUAUUUCCUAAUUGAAGGUUACGAUUUUAGGUGAAUUUAGCAAGAUUUGGGUUCCUUGGUCAUUAUGGCGAAGUCCAAGGGUUUACAGGUCACUAUUGGCUUUAUCCCCAACGGUUCAACCACAAUACAAUCUAUUUAGUCAAAAGAUCGCCCGGGUCAAAGGAGUUUAGAGAGAGAAAGUAGAGUGAGAGAAGGUGAAGGAGUUUAGAGAGAGAAAGUAAAGUGAGAGAAGGUGCAGGGGUUUAGAGAGAGAAAGUAGAGUGAGAGAAGGUGCAGGAGUUUAGAGAGAGAAAGUAGAGUGAGAGAAGGUGAAGGAGUUUAGAGAGAGAAAGUAGAGUGAGAGAAGGUGAAGGAGUUUAGAGAGAGAAGUAGAGGGAGAGAAGGUGAAGGAGUUAGAGAGAGAAGUAGGUGAGAGAAGGUGAAGGAGUUAGAGAGAGAAGUAGAGGAGAGAAGGUGAAGGAGUUAGAGAGAGAAGUAGAGUGAGAGAGGUAGAAGGAGUUAGAGAGAGAAGUAGAGUGAGAGAAGGUGAAGGAGUUUAGAGAGAACGAAGUAGAGUGAGGAGUGAAGGNNNNNNNNNNNNNNNNNNNNAGAGAGUAGAGAGUUAGUAGAGAGAAGUAGUAGUAGAGAGAGUGAGAGUUAGUAGAGAGAAGUAGAGUGAGAGAGUAGAGAGUUUAGUAGAGACAAGUAGAGUGAGGAGGUGAAGGAGUUUAGAGAGAGAAAGUAG
This 960-nucleotide long non-coding RNA is filed under the name Amborella trichopoda. RNAcentral's name for it is "long non-coding RNA (ATRI_LNC004867)". The record is from RNAcentral. Lineage: Eukaryota; Viridiplantae; Streptophyta; Magnoliopsida; Amborellales; Amborellaceae.